UUUUACACUAUAAAUAAUUUUAUCCCAAAACAAAAACUUAAAUUUAUAUAAAGUAAGGGUAUUCUUUAUUAAAAGUUCAACUUGAAUGUUAUCCGUAUUUUAUUGAACUCGGAAUAUAUAUAUAUAUAUAUUUUAACGGGGCAAGAAAAUUGCCCCGCCCCGUCAAAGGCGGGGCGGGGUAAGGCGUGGGAGAGGCGGGGCCCCCGCCCCGUUACCAUCACUAGUUUACUUUCAAGCAGGCACCAUCAGCAUGGACGGUGGCAAGCUCAAAUUGGAAGGGUUGCCGGCAACAGACUUGUACCUUGGUACGUUUAGUAAGUUUGCUAAUCUCCUCGAACAUAACUUUGUGAUCAUCUUCAGUGGUACCUCUGUAUGUCUAACUUUAGGUUGUGAUUUUGGGAGUUACUAUUGAACCAUAUAAAGAAUCAAUGUUGAUGUUUCUGAACUUUUGAAUGAUGGUGAAAUCAGCGCUGGUCCUAUCCUAUAUUUCUUUCUUUGGUUUUGAUUAAAAGUUAUAAUUAACUUUUGCAACUAUGUAAAACCCUACAGAAACUUACUUUUUAGUAUCGUGAUCUUUAUAUUUAGAAUAAUGCUAGAUGUACACUUUGUCUAGCAUGACAUUCCCCCCAUGUGAGGGAAUCUGUGCAUUGAUUGGUGUCGCGAAAAUCCCUCGAUAAAUCUUUAUUUUGGGCUCAAAAAAAAUCAAACGAACACCAAUUUACCUCGACUUGACCCGAGACUUUCGUCUUCACGUUUGGAAUGCCCUCUUUCUCGCUAACCCCACAAAAGAGAAGGGUGGUGGUGUUAGCAAUUCACAAAAAUAUGAGAGGAAGAAGAAGAUAUCACAACGGUUGAAUCUCACUCACAACCUCAUAUGGCUUCCCUCUCUCUCGGCUUCCUCAGUUCUCUCAACUUUCAUCUCCAUUACUACAACACACACACACACUCACACGACUAGGAGAUAGAUACAUAUAUAUAGGUUAGUUUAAGUCACCAAAUAUGGGCCAAGAGAUCUCUAAGUGGGCUGUCAUAUAACCUAAACUCACAGGCCAAUUUCCAACUCCAUAUUAAUCAUUAAAUGGUCCAACUAACCAAAUAAUCAUCCAACCCAACCUCGAGCCAUCCAAAAGUGUAGUUCGUCUUCGAGUCAAGCCAAGUCCACGGUGUCGAUAAAUAAUCUGAUAACUGUUUUAAAUCAUCACCCGAAUUAUUGGGUAUCAAAAAAUCCAACAAUUAGAAAAAUGGGGGGAAAUCAAUGGUGUAGAUCAUACCACGUGGAAGAAUGUAAUUCAUAAUGUAACUAACAGUGUAUCUGUAGCAACUUUGUUAUAUUAAACCUAGGUACACAAGAAGAAGCUGCAGAAGCCUAUGAUAUUGCUGCAAUUAAGUUUAGAGGGACGAGUGCCGUGACCAAUUUUGACAUAAGUAGGUACGACGUAAAGAGGUUAAGAGGAUUUGCUCAAGCUCAACCCUUGUCGCAGGAGACCUCAUUAAGCGUUCCCCUAAGGACUCCGAUCCAUCUUUCCUCGAGGGUUUCAAUUCUUGUGCAUCGUCAGCUUCCCUUCCUCAACCUCUUCUCCCAAUAACUAACGGAGAACCUUCUGAUGAAUUGACAGACAUGAUAUGGAAUGUUCGCAAUGAUGAGCAGAACUAGGUUGCAAAAGCGAAUAGUAAUGAACAUUUGGCAGGAUCGACCAACAGGAACACCUCUAACCCGUGAAGUCAUACAUCUGGAAUGGAUGUGGAAUUUGGAUGUGCAAAUUAUUUUCAAGCAUAUUUCUAGGUUCAAGGGGAGAAGUACAGAGAAGGGAAUAAUGAGAGCGAAAUAACAAAAUUCUGGAUGGGAACAUCAGCCCCCUCCCCGCCCCCAAACCCCAUUAUUUGCACUGUGGAACAACUGAAGGAUAUUGGUGCGGAAUUACAGAAGUCAGAACCUGGAUGAUGUUUUAGUUAUUUUGCUAUUAAAGUUGCCAAAAUGUUGUCAUAAUCAAUUUUAACUGUGUUUUGAUGAUCUGAAAGAAAGCUACAAGACGAAAAGAAACCAAGCUUAGUGAAGAAUUUUUCUUCAUUUUGAUUAUUUUCAUUUUAUUAGGAAGCAGCUUUCAAAUGAGUUAGAGGAUUGACUUCUUUUCAUGUUAGAUUCUGAUUCUACGUACGUAGUUUUCUUUCUCCGUGUAGCGUGGUAGAAUCAAACUAGUCUGAUUCUGACUGUGACUUCGGACCUGCCUAAAUUUGCGUGCCGACUAGCUAGAGAAAGACGUAAAUGGGUGGAUCUCUCGGGAAGGAGAAGCAACAAUUUUGGAUGAAUUUUUAUUUUGGAGAGAGAUUCGAUCUCUGAUGUGUUAGAUUUCCCCAUAAAAGCAAAAAGGUUGCUUUGUA
Molecule: long non-coding RNA, 2379 nt
Filed under: Olea europaea subsp. europaea
Lineage: Eukaryota; Viridiplantae; Streptophyta; Magnoliopsida; Lamiales; Oleaceae
Source: RNAcentral